This is a long non-coding RNA of Neopsephotus bourkii (Bourke's parrot), 485 nucleotides long. RefSeq lists it as uncharacterized. Lineage: Eukaryota; Metazoa; Chordata; Aves; Psittaciformes; Psittacidae. The record is from RefSeq and is a predicted model, not a curated record. The transcript is spliced from 3 exons.
UUACCAAAAUCAGUGAAGUUACAGAGACCUUAUACAGCCUAGGCGUUGGUUGCAAAGCUGUUUUGAUUUUCUUGAGCUGUUUUUCUCUGGAACUGUUCUACAUGAAUUGAUGAUUUAUACGCAGUCAGUGUUAUGUACAAAUUGCAUCUCUAAAGUUAUUUAGAUAUCAGAGCUGUUGUUGAAAUCCUUUUGGAGAUAAGUACUUGACUCUGGUUUUGGAUUUAGCUCUUAGUCACGAAGAAUUUUCUAACUUUUUUCUUUCAGGAAAAAUAGGAGUUUCCCUUGGUUGGUAAAUAUUAGAGUUUGCUUCUGUCUUCCUGGGGAUGCCUGGGGAUGCACAAACCAGCAUGUCUCUGCUCUAUUUCCUGGCACUUAUUUACCAACCGCAGAACUACCAUCCAGGGAAAUAGGACUCUGAUCCUGCAAGCACUUCAUGAAGUUUUUUAACUUUAACUACACAAAUAAACUUGUUGUGGUCAGCAGCA